UUGCGUUAGUCUACUUGGGCUACCAUAACAAAGCACACACACUGGGUGGCUUCAGCUUCGGGAAUGCAUUCGUUACAGGGACUGGAAGUCUAAGAUCAAGGUGUCAGCAGGGCUCCUUUUUUCUGAGGUCCCUCUCCUUGGCUUGUCCCUGGCCAUCUUAUCCCUGUGUCUUUACGUGGUCUUCCUUCUGUGAGUUAUCUGUGUCCUAAUUUUUUCUUCUUGUCGGACACCAGUCAGAUUGGAUGAGGGCAUGCCCAUAGGGCCUCAUUAUAGACCCCCUCUCCAGAUACCCUCACAUCCUAAGCUAUUGUGAGUUAGAACUUCAACGUAUGAAUUUGGCAAGGGACACAGUUCUCGUUCACCAUGAGCACUGGCUUCAUAGAUUUUUACCACUAUUAAGUUGCCGUCUUCCUGAGUAGGUUAUUUGCUAUGAAGGUUUGGUAAGAGAUAUACAUUUUCAUUAAGAAAGUGGCAUUUUGGAGCUGAUGGUUGUUUCUAGGGGCUAGGACUAGGCUAUCAUAUUGGGAGUUCCACACCCCCAAGAAUAAAAUCCCAGAGGAUGAAAGUAAUAAAGCAGUUUGGAAUGUGGUGGUGAUGGCCAACAUUACCAGACUCACUGGAAAUUCUCACUGUGAAACAGCUAGUACUUGGGGGACCCCAGAAAAUUCAGUGGUCGCGUGUCCAGUACCCAAGAGAUGAAAACAUCAGAUGCGAAGGCUUUUCUCUGAUCUUCCCUGUUUGUUGACUCUCAGGACUGGGAGAGCUCUGUAAAACAUGAGGGUCUGAUCUUUUAGCUUUAGAUUGGAAUAGAGGAUUUCGGCUUCCACUCCUUAAAGGGCAAAGGAAGGGUCCACCCCGGCUCAGCCGUGGUCACUCCCCGUGCAUAACUAAAAUCACUGCCCAGGAAGUCAGAGAGAGGUUGUGGGAAAGAGGCUGUGUAAGUGACUCUGACUGUUGCUAUAACAACAGUACCUUGGUCUAAUUUCUUUUGAAAAAUGAAUUUCAGCUGGUGGGAUGAAGCUGAGCAGCUUCUCCCCACAGAUGACAGCCUCCGGAGCUCUGCUGUUUAUGGGCUGAGUGCGUGGUGCCCUGCCUGCCUCUGCCCACUGGAACAUCCUCAGAGCCGGUUAAAUCAUACCUGCGUUUGCCUGAAAGGAGAUAAACACAUGCUUGGAUUUUUAUUCAAAAGCGGUGUCAGGACCAGGCGCUGGGAGCUGUUUGCAUCCCUUGAGCGGUGGGACAGGACAUCAGUGCGAUGGAGGGAGAGAAAAGUGCUCAGCCUCCCUGAAGUACUUCUCCUGCUGCCUCCCUCCUCCCAGAAAAUAAACAGAUUGAAACCUCACGCUUCGUUCCAACAUGCCCGUUCUUCAGUCUGUGUUGUCGGUGUAAGGCUCCAGCUGUGA
RNAcentral lists this long non-coding RNA (1403 nucleotides) under Capra hircus (goat). RNAcentral describes it as "lncRNA (ENSCHIG00010016908.1)". The record is from RNAcentral. Lineage: Eukaryota; Metazoa; Chordata; Mammalia; Artiodactyla; Bovidae.